GACGAACGCUGGCGGCGUGCUUAACACAUGCAAGUCGAACGAUGAAGCCUUCGGGUGGAUUAGUGGCGAACGGGUGAGUAACACGUGGGCAAUCUGCCCUGUACUUUGGGAUAAGCCUUGGAAACGGGGUCUAAUACCGGAUAUCACUUCUGACCGCAUGGUUGGUUGUUGAAAGUUCUGGCGGUACAGGAUGAGCCCGCGGCCUAUCAGCUUGUUGGUGGGGUAAUGGCCUACCAAGGCGACGACGGGUAGCCGGCCUGAGAGGGUGACCGGCCACACUGGGACUGAGACACGGCCCAGACUCCUACGGGAGGCAGCAGUGGGGAAUAUUGCACAAUGGCGAAAGCCUGAUGCAGCGACGCCGCGUGAGGAUGACGCCU
This 380-nucleotide ribosomal RNA is filed under the name uncultured bacterium. RNAcentral describes it as "bacterial SSU rRNA". It matches the Rfam family "Bacterial small subunit ribosomal RNA", at positions 28 to 416 of the family's 1533-position model. The record is from RNAcentral.